RNAcentral lists this long non-coding RNA (441 nucleotides) under Equus caballus (horse). Its description in RNAcentral is "lncRNA (ENSECAG00000050626.1)". Lineage: Eukaryota; Metazoa; Chordata; Mammalia; Perissodactyla; Equidae. The record is from RNAcentral.
AAAAAACCUAAACCCGUCAAAGUGAAAGCCUAAGUGGUAGAACCUCUCCCAGCCGUCUGCGUGGAGGGAACCAGAACCGUCUCUUUGCAUUUUUCCCUAGUAGGUCUGUAUGUGCGCACCCCCCAGAACGCAGUAGGAUACCUGUUUAUCUUCUGGAGGAGGAGAAAAUUAGAAGAAGAGGCAUCGAGCAAAAGGCUGUAACUUCUAGGAGCACAGGGAGCCUGCUCUUCCAGGCAGGCCCAGGCUCUGCUCGCCGGCCAGAGAGCUUCUGGCCUCAUCUCAGCCACAAGGGGAGGAGGAAUCCUUUCCUCAGAAAGUGGAGAGCAGGUAAGUUACUUUGGUUUUGUUCUGCAUCUACACAUGUCUCCCUAAUCAGAAGAAUUUCUACGUAAUAUAAUGGGAUCUGAACGUUGCUUUAUUUAUUGAUUUACUUUUGGUGAG